GGGGGUACGCCGGAGUUGGAGAGCCGGGGCAGACUGUAAAUCUGUUGUCUAUGACUGAAUAGGUUCGAAUCCUAUUACCCCCACUA
This 86-nucleotide transfer RNA is filed under the name Crocinitomicaceae bacterium TMED45. RNAcentral describes it as "tRNA-Tyr". It matches the Rfam family "tRNA". From Rfam's summary of the family: Transfer RNA (tRNA) molecules are approximately 80 nucleotides in length. The record is from RNAcentral. Lineage: Bacteria; Pseudomonadati; Bacteroidota; Flavobacteriia; Flavobacteriales; Crocinitomicaceae.